This 406-nucleotide ribosomal RNA is filed under the name uncultured bacterium. Its description in RNAcentral is "partial 16S ribosomal RNA". It matches the Rfam family "Bacterial small subunit ribosomal RNA", at positions 29 to 526 of the family's 1533-position model. The record is from RNAcentral.
AUUGAACGCUGGCGGCAGGCCUAACACAUGCAAGUCGAGCGAGCGGCGGACGGGUGAGUAAUGUCUGGGAAACUGCCUGAUGGAGGGGGAUAACUACUGGAAACGGUAGCUAAUACCGCAUACCAUCAGAUGUGCCCAGAUGGGAUUAGCUAGUAGGUAGGGUAACGGCUUACCUAGGCGACGAUCCCUAGCUGGUCUGAGAGGAUGACCAGCUACACUGGAACGGAGAUCCGUGCCAGACUGCCACGGGAGCGGGCAGUGGGGAAUAGUGCGCAAGGGGCGGGGUCCUGAUGCAGCCAUGCCGCGAGUCUGAAGAAGGCAUUCGGGUUGUAAAGCACUUUUAGCGGGGAGGCGUUACCCGCAGAAGAAGCACCGGCUAACUCCGUGCCAGCAGCCGCGGUAAUAC